Non-coding RNA from Schistosoma mansoni, 45 nucleotides. The record is from Rfam. Lineage: Eukaryota; Metazoa; Platyhelminthes; Trematoda; Strigeidida; Schistosomatidae.
AUCCAGAUGACCAGUCCCAAAUAGGUCGAAACGUGCUUCCUGGAU